GAUGAGCCUGCGGCCCAUCAGCUAGUUGGUAGGGUAAUGGCCUACCAAGGCGAAGACGGGUAGCUGGUCUGAGAGGACGAUCAGCCACACUGGAACUGAGACACGGUCCAGACUCCUACGGGAGGCAGCAGUGGGGAAUCUUGCGCAAUGGGCGAAAGCCUGACGCAGCGACGCCGCGUGAGUGAUGAAGGCCUUCGGGUUGUAAAGCUCUGUGGAGGGGGACGAAUAAGGGCCGUCGAAUAGACGGCCCGAUGACGGUACCCCUUUAGCAAGCACCGGCUAACUCUGUGCCAGCAGCCGCGGUAAGACAGAGGGUGCAAACGUUGUUCGGAAUUACUGGGCGUAAAGCGCGUGUAGGCGGCUCGGAAAGUCGGGUGUGAAAGCCCUGGGCUCAACCUAGGAAGUGCACUCGAAACUUCCGAGCUGGAGUUCUGGAGAGGAAGGCGGAAUUCUCGGUGUAGAGGUGAAAUUCGUAGAUAUCGAGAGGAACACCGGUGGCGAAGGCGGCCUUCUGGACAGCAACUGACGCUGAGACGCGAAAGCGUGGGGAGCAAACAGGAUUAGAUACCCUGGUAGUCCACGCCGUAAACGAUGGGUGCUAGGUGU
RNAcentral lists this ribosomal RNA (606 nucleotides) under uncultured delta proteobacterium. RNAcentral's name for it is "bacterial SSU rRNA". It matches the Rfam family "Bacterial small subunit ribosomal RNA", at positions 224 to 823 of the family's 1533-position model. The record is from RNAcentral. Lineage: Bacteria; Deltaproteobacteria.